This 267-nucleotide ribosomal RNA is filed under the name uncultured bacterium. RNAcentral describes it as "partial 16S ribosomal RNA". It matches the Rfam family "Bacterial small subunit ribosomal RNA", at positions 87 to 354 of the family's 1533-position model. The record is from RNAcentral.
CGAUCUUAGUGGCGGACGGGUGAGUAACGCGUGGGUAACCUGCCUUAUACAGGGGGAUAACACUUAGAAAUAGGUGCUAAUACCGCAUAAGCGCACGGGGCUGCAUGGCCCAGUGUGAAAAACUCCGGUGGUAUAAGAUGGACCCGCGUCUGAUUAGCUUGUUGGCGGGGUAACGGCCCACCAAGGCGACGAUCAGUAGCCGGCCUGAGAGGGUGGACGGCCACAUUGGGACUGAGACACGGCCCAAACUCCUACGGAAGGCAGCAG